RNAcentral lists this long non-coding RNA (3374 nucleotides) under Pogonomyrmex barbatus (red harvester ant). RNAcentral's name for it is "uncharacterized LOC105432761". Lineage: Eukaryota; Metazoa; Arthropoda; Insecta; Hymenoptera; Formicidae. The record is from RNAcentral.
UCGUCAGCGUCGCGUCUCUCUGGUCUUAUCUGCAUGCAUUAAUUUUAUCACGUUAGCGUGCAUUCUGCGUGCGGCAGCUGCCCGUGAUCUUCUACGUUUCGCAAGCGUUCUGCGUGGCCACGCAGCGUGCGUUUUCCAGCACUCCCUUUUCUCGCGAGCGAUCGUUUCAGCGUUUUUUCUGCUUUUUCAUCGUCUCUAAUCUCGAACGUUCCUUCGCGUUCGCGGUGCCCUUGCUGGCAUUGUACGUUCCGCAACAUAAUAUUUGUCACGCGUAUUCCUUGUGUUCGCGGUGUCCUUGUUGGCAUUGUACGUUUCCGGACUUUCUUUGCUUUGUGAUAUUAAUUGUAAGCCGUGUAAAUAUCGCAUCCGCGUUUUGUUUGUUAACCGGUUGAAUGUUCUAGAGUCUCUAUCCGUUGUCUGUUCGAAAUAAAGAGAUCGAGUCAAAACUUCGCGAGUCGUUGCUGGAGACGGUCGAACAUCAAAUUGUGAUAAAUUCAAUUUGCCUAGAAUCCUUCCUGCCUCUUUUCAGAGACCAGCCGUCUUACAUUUCUGGCAGAGUUGGCAGUCAUCCUAAACAGUUUGGCAAUCGUCCAUCACAAGUGGUGACCCCGACGUGAUAUGAACACGCAACGCAACGCAACGCAAUCUUCUCAAUUGCACCCGUCGUAAUACAGACAUAUGAAACCCGCUGAUUACGACGACGUGACUCUCUACGGCCAAUCUUCGGACGCACUCGCCUUACAGAGGUUCGCACACCUCCCUGUCGACGUCCAUACGGCCAGUCCAACGUCGCCAACCGGUAAAGAGCCAAUUACCGGACAUCUCGAUUUUCAAGGUUCGCUCACACACCUCACUGUCGAUGUCCAAAUCGGCUAGCCCAUCCAACGAGGAAAUUAGCGCACAAUAGAAUCGCAGCGGCAACGUGCCCUCCUUAUAUCGCGCAUCUCAUACUUCCCUGGGCAGUAACACAUCGGGCAACGAGCAAAUAUCAAAAAGAGAAGAAAAAUCGCAGCUUGUCCACUAAGGGGGGAAUCCUGUGGCGGUCCCCGCUCACACAACUAAUACCUAGCAAAGCAUCCACGAAGAGAACCAUGGCCUGCAUAGCGCAGUGAUAGUGCGCCUGCUUUGGACACCUGAGGACCUAAGUUCGAAUCUCAUCGCGGCCAACAUCUUUUUCGCUGUCAAACUCAGAACAUCGUGGACGACCUCCUCACCAAAGCCACAGGUGGAUUCUUCGCGGAGAAAGUUUAUGACCACUCGAGUCGGAGAACGGGUGUACCCGUGCUUUCUCCGUUCUCACGAGCGGAGUCGCAAGAGCUCGGACUGCCGAGUGUACUCGGCCAGCUGAGGUGAACCCCAGCUCGGGCGGAAGGUUUCGGUGGUUGCCGAGUACUCGGCCGAUCGGGGUGUAUCCCAGUACUCGGAAUCAAUCGGACGGAUGUGUGGUUGUAUCGGAGGGCACUCUGAUACAUAGCAGCGGAAAUCGAUGGCGGCGGAGUCGGAUCGAAUGAACUCGAUGCGCUGAGGAGAUCUUAGCAACUCUCAGCUUGUCGUGGAAAGUUCGAAAGGUUUCGGUCAAGUGAACUUGGCGCGUUGGAGAGGGUCCCAAUAUAUCACAGGCUGCAACCGGAAUCGGGAUACUCGCUUCUCGUGAGACGUGCUCUCAGAAGGCGAGCGCGGAACAGGAUGAUUUUUCUAUGGAGAGUGAUAUCUUUUUAUACCCGAGAUCGACCUCGGUAUUUUUCGGUCGGAUUGAUCUCGGAGGUAGCAACCUUCACAGAAGCGAAGAAAAGGAAUCGGUUCAAUUGGUUUUUUAGGAAGAUAAGAAAUCGGAGUGGGGAUGUCUAGGAAUAGGAAGAGGAGUGGUGAAAUAACGGCGCGACGCGGAGACGGUUACAUUGCUUAUAGACACGGUUGUGACGCGAUACGGGGCGCACGCUCGCUUUCGUGGCGCGGUGGAGUAUCAUCGCUUGGUGGUACGGCUCGGUGGAAUACCAUGAAAACAAUCGUGGACUCGCGGUAUUCCCACGCUAUAACUCCAACGCUUCGGAGUUCGCGAAAUAUUACAGAUUAAAAAAUAAGCGUAAAUGCCUUUUGCAGCCACUGCCGCACUCCGUCUAAUGGUCGGCGGUCCCCGAUCGGAUGAUCGGUCAGGGGAAGAUUCGGAGAAGAAACGGAGCGUAGGGAUGCCCAUUAUAGCUUUAAACAUUAAAUAUAAUUUGUUUCCUUUCACAAAUUUUUAUAAAAUUAAAGACUUAAGCUGGAUCCUCAUGCACUGGCGCUUUAACACAGAACGCUAAUUGAUGAAAAAUGAGUAGUGGGAAUAAAUAGUAACGUAGUACUAUUUAUUUAUUUGUUUUUUUUUAAGUUUUUCAUUGAAGAGGAGUUGUGAAAGAAUUAGGGGAGGAAGAUCUUCUGCUUUGUGCCCGAACAUCUGACUGAAAAAAUCCUUUUUUUUUAAAGAAGUCUGUCUCGCCCUCGGUUUUUUUGAAUCGUAGUUUUUCCAAGGGACUUAGGGCGAAUGCCGAGGCAGGGAUUUGGGGUGUCUAUAGGACGAAAGAGUCCACGGAAGCUUCCCUUCCUUGUCCGAAGAUGCAAGAGAGAAGUGCGUAAAACACAAACACAAGAUGAAAAAGCAUCAAGAAAGAAGAAAGAAGAAGGAAAAUGACCUCGUAGCGGCACGAGAUUUCCGGGAGGGAAAGGAAGAAGGAGUGUUGGAAUUGAUUCGGCGCUCGGUAACCCACAGCAGCAGCUCGGAGUAGAGCAGGAAGCCGACAGAUUCCCUGAGAGCUUCACCAUGGAAGAAGAAACCGAUUUUUCUGCGAGAGUUCCCUGGAAUUGUCGGGACGACAAUUUCGAAGAGGAGGGGAGUAGUAUUACAACCAAGGGGUGCCCCGGAGUUACCCUCGGAAUAGGAUUUCUAACAUGAAGAUCAUACUCUGCGUUGUCGAUUAUGAAUAUUGAUUUGACAGAUCAUUUGAGAGAUGACGCGCGAGCGAAUUGCGAGCGCGAGAUUGUAUCACGAGCUAUAUAACUAGUUGUUGUGCUUAUUAAAGUUUGUUGUUUUGUAAACAACUUUUAUUUAUUUCCGCGUAUCGCGUGAGUGAGUGGCUUGUGCGAGUGGCCGCUGCGAAAGCGCGACAAUAUUAAUAAAUUAAUUUUAAUUUAAUUAUUAAUUUUUAUUUUUUAAUAUUUAAAUUUUCUUUUCCAAAUAAUUGGUAACCAUGCAUUUAACACAUAAGCUGCAACUCAGCUUUUAAGCUGUGUAAUGUUGUGUCGUUGUUGGAAAGCACUAUGUCAUUUUGUGUCGCCUGUGUCUCUUGCUGGAAAGUUCCCAAUAUACUGUAUAAAUAAAAUAUAUAUUUUAAAUCUAA